AACGAACGCUGGCGGCAUGCCUAACACAUGCAAGUCGAACGAGACCUUCGGGUCUAGUGGCGCACGGGUGCGUAACGCGUGGGAAUCUGCCCUUGGGUUCGGAAUAACAGUUAGAAAUGACUGCUAAUACCGGAUAAUGUCUUCGGACCAAAGAUUUAUCGCCCAGGGAUGAGCCCGCGUAGGAUUAGCUAGUUGGUGAGGUAAAGGCUCACCAAGGCGACGAUCCUUAGCUGGUCUGAGAGGAUGAUCAGCCACACUGGGACUGAGACACGGCCCAGACUCCUACGGAGGCAGCAGUGGGGAAUAUUGGACAAUGGGCGAAAGCCUGAUCCAGCAAUGCCGCGUGAGUGAUGAAGGCCUUAGGGUUGUAAAGCUCUUUUACCCGGGAUGAUAAUGACAGUACCGGGAGAAUAAGCCCGGCUAACUCCGUGCCAGCAGCCGCGGUAAU
This 448-nucleotide ribosomal RNA is filed under the name uncultured bacterium. RNAcentral's name for it is "bacterial SSU rRNA". It matches the Rfam family "Bacterial small subunit ribosomal RNA", at positions 29 to 524 of the family's 1533-position model. The record is from RNAcentral.